RNAcentral lists this ribosomal RNA (520 nucleotides) under uncultured Glomus. RNAcentral's name for it is "SSU rRNA". It matches the Rfam family "Eukaryotic small subunit ribosomal RNA", at positions 569 to 1093 of the family's 1831-position model. Lineage: Eukaryota; Fungi; Glomeromycota; Glomeromycetes; Glomerales; Glomeraceae. The record is from RNAcentral.
AGCAGCCGCGGUAAUUCCAGCUCCAAUAGCGUAUAUUAAAGUUGCUGCAGUUAAAAAGCUCGUAGUUGAAUUUCGGGAUCGAUAUAUCGGUCGUGCCUCGGUACGUACUGGUAUUUUCGGUUUCUCCCUUCUGACGAACCUUGAUGUCAUUAAUUUGGUGUCUUGGGGAAUCAGGACUGUUACUUUGAAAAAAUUAGAGUGUUUAAAGCAGGCUCACGCUUGAAUACAUUAGCAUGGAAUAAUGAAAUAGGACGUUUGAUUCUAUUUUGUUGGUUUCUAGGAUCGACGUAAUGAUUAAUAGGGAUAGUUGGGGGCAUUAGUAUUCAAUUGUCAGAGGUGAAAUUCUUGGAUUUAUUGAAGACUAACUACUGCGAAAGCAUUUGCCAAGGAUGUUUUCAUUAAUCAAGAACGAAAGUUAGGGGAUCGAAGACGAUCAGAUACCGUCGUAGUCUUAAUCAUAAACUAUACCGACUAGGGAUCGGAUGAUGUAAUUUUUAAUGACUCAUUCGGCGCCUUACGG